Long non-coding RNA from Crotalus tigris (Tiger rattlesnake), 1608 nucleotides. RefSeq lists it as uncharacterized. The transcript is spliced from 2 exons. The record is from RefSeq and is a predicted model, not a curated record. Lineage: Eukaryota; Metazoa; Chordata; Lepidosauria; Squamata; Viperidae.
UGCAAUCUCUUUCAACCGGAUGGCGUCUUCUAGCUGGCUAUUAAGCAACACCGUCUCUUCCUCAAAUCGUUUUAUCUCAUGUUUCAAGCCUUCAUAUUCAACCUGAAUUAAAUAAAAUAAAGAAGAUUCAUAAUGCUAAAAGUUGGAUUUAUACACAAUCUGCCAUUUGCCGCAUCUGUUCAAAUAAAUGUCUACAAAUGAGGAAUUAUGCAAUGGGCUGGACUCUCUCCACAUUAGAUAUUAGUGAGCAAACCCAUGCGGAUGCCAGCCUCUCCCCCGGCAUUCCUAUAUCUGAAAGACAUUCAUAUGUUGUCGCUGUUAUGUUGACCUCUUGCCAAGCUCUUCUCACAUCUUAUAAAGACUGUCAUUCACAGGUUGCAGCAGCUAUGCCCAAGAAAUCAUUACAUCCCUGCCAUUCAUUGAAAGUUGGUGAUUUGGUUCUGACAAAAGUAUUUCAGCAUAAGAAUUGCCUGGCUCCUCGUUGGAAGGAGAUCCUGUUGACCACCAACACUGCUGUGAAGUGUCAACAGCUGACCUCCUAGGUGCAUGCUUUGCCCUGUAUGAAGGCACUGGCCCCAGAUGAGGAAGCUGUGCAACCCCAGCUAUCCAAAUCCAAUGAGACAAAGAUUGAAGCUAUGUUCAAUAAGGGAGCAAGUGCUAGUAACCUCUGCUCCCCACCAGCAUACAAUCUUCGGCCCAGACAGCACCAACAAGCAGUGGGCUCCGAUUUGCUUUUCUCAGACAACUGAAGACCUUUAUGCUACCUUUCCCAGCACAAUGGAAGCCCAGAGGUGCAUGAAGGAAGUGCUCUGCAUAAAAGGAUGCCUCAUGCCUGCUGUAUGGCCUAUGGUUAUUGUUAUUGUUAUUGUUUAUUGCCACUUUUUAAAAUUUGUAUAACACUGUGAUGCCCUCCUGUGUUAAUGUAAUGUAUGUUUUCUAUAUUACUGGUCCUAACUGUGGUGUUGUCCUGAAGGAGAAGAAGUGUGAAAGGAAAAAUAUAUCGAUAACUAUUUUAUGAGUGAUCUAAUUGAUUAAUCAUAUUUUAGAUUUGAACUUGCUAACUAGCACUUGGCUUUUGCUUGCUGCUGAUCUUCAACCGGAAAAAAUGACUGUUUGUGGUCGGCAUGAAUUUCUUAAAAAGGAACAUAGAACAAGAAUGUAGGAGAAAAGAAGAACUGAGCUCUGUGUAUGGGUGCAACUUUUACAAUGACACAUGUAGGAAUGGUAGUGAGGAAAGUAGUGGUUAGAACAAGGAUAGGAAAGAACAGGGAAGUGGCCCAGUAACCAGGACAACAAUAGAAGAAUAAGGAACUAUCCUAAUGGUCAGUUCCAAGAAUAGGGAGGUGACCCGAGGGAGGAUUCUGAGAAAUAUGAUAUGUUUAACAAGGAAAGGGAAAUGGGAUGGCUAGUGGGUGAUGCCAAAAUGCUAGAGGUGGGCACAAUGUUAAGGUAUAAAGCCUGCCUCAAAGAUUUGGGUGUUGCCACCUGGCCCAGCCAUCACACAUAAUGACUGCUGUCCAUUUGAUCCUUAUUGCAAUAAGUUGUUGAAAUGUAAGUACUGAAUUCGUGGGUCAAAUUUAAAUAAAUCUCUGGAUCCUAAAGUGAGAA